Molecule: long non-coding RNA, 457 nt
Organism: Oncorhynchus tshawytscha (Chinook salmon)
Lineage: Eukaryota; Metazoa; Chordata; Actinopteri; Salmoniformes; Salmonidae
Source: Ensembl
CUGAGACAGAUGUAAACCCUGACCCUGAACGGCACCCCAGGUUUCUCCCUCCCUGAUGACAGCUGGGCCUGAGACAGAUGUAAACCCUGACCCUGACCGGCACCCCAGGUUUCUCCCUCCCUGAUGACAGCUGGGCCUGAGACAGAUGUAAACCCUGACCCUGCCCUUCACCCCAGGUUCCUCCCUCCCUGAUGACAGCUGGGCCUGAGACAGAUGUAAACCCUGACCCUGCCCUUCACCCCAGGUUUCUCCCUCCCUGAUGACAGCUGGGCCUGAGACAGAUGUAAACCCUGACCCUGCCCGGCACCCCAGGUUUCUCCCUCCCUGAUGACAGCUGGGCCUGAGACAGAUGUAAACCCUGACCCUUCCCUACACCCCAGGUUUCUCCCUCCCUGAUGACAGCUGGGCCUGAGACAGAUGUAAACCCUGACCCUGAACGGCACCCCAGGUUUCUCCC